Molecule: non-coding RNA, 92 nt
Organism: Mycena galopus ATCC 62051
Lineage: Eukaryota; Fungi; Basidiomycota; Agaricomycetes; Agaricales; Mycenaceae
Source: the annotation of a GenBank genome assembly
GCUCCGAUGGGUCAAUGGUGGACCGGCCUGAGGCUUUUAGUCUGUAUUUCACAUGGUGCAGGCAGAUGUGGGUUCGACUCUCGCUUGGAGCA